RNAcentral lists this ribosomal RNA (1353 nucleotides) under Triticum aestivum (bread wheat). RNAcentral describes it as "partial small subunit ribosomal RNA". Lineage: Eukaryota; Viridiplantae; Streptophyta; Magnoliopsida; Poales; Poaceae. The record is from RNAcentral.
AUGAAGAAACCUAACCCUCCCCCCUCCAAGCCCUCCGCCUCCGCCAAGCCCGCCGCCGGCAUGGCGCCGCGCAAGUCUCGCUGGGGCCCGCCGCCCGCAGGCGCCGCCGGAGACAAGGCCGCGUCCACCUCCCGCCGCACCCCGACCCCCACCCGUUCCUCCAACGCCAGGCGGCACCCCGCUCCUACCGCCCCCGCCCCGCAAGCCGCGUCCCCGGCGGCCGCCACCCGCCCGCCGCCCCACCAGCAGCCGCGGGUGGAGACGCCUCCCCCGCCGCCCUACGGCUUCCACAACCUCGACCGCCGCACCAUCCACCUGGCCGACGGCACCGUGCGCACCUACUUCGCCCUGCCCCCCGACUACCCGUUCGAGCCCGCCCCCCUGCCCCAGCUCCCGCACUUCCAGCGUGCCGGCCCCGAGGCCUGGCCGCCGCACCAGCCACCGCCGCAGCAGCAGUUCCCGCCGCACGACAAGCGCAGGCACCCCGCCGAUCCCGACGAGGGCUUCUCCAGGCACCCGAAGCAGUCCCGUUUCGAGCCGCCGCCGCAUCAACCGUCGCAGAUGCAGCAGCCCCCGGUGGACCGGCAAGCGCUCAGGAAGGCGUUCCUCAAGUACUCCAAGAUGCUCAACGAGAAUUCCGCCCAGAAGCGGAUCUACCUUGAAGGUGGACGCGUCCAAUGUCUCCCCUGCGGCAGGUCUUCUAAGGACUUUGCUGAUGUGCACGGGCUUGUCAUGCAUGCUUACAACCCACCAAAUGCAGAUUCAUUUGUUGAUCAUCUUGGUUUACACAAGGCAUUGUGUGUCCUUAAGGGAUGGGAUUAUACAAAAGUCCCUGAUAACUCUAAGGCAUACCAGUCAUUACCUCCUGACCUUGUUCGAGCAAAUAGGGAGGACCUUAUUAUAUGGCCUCCAACUGUUAUCAUUCGUAACACUACCACUGGGAGGAAGAAAGAUGGACGCUCUGAGGGUCUGGGAAACAAAGAAAUGGAUAAGAAAAUUGCAGAACUAGGGUUUGCUGGUGGCAAGUCGAAGUCCUUGUAUGGAAAGGAAGGGCAUCUGGGUCUGACACUUAUCAAGUUCGCGAACAACCCAUCUGGCUUGAAGGAGGCUGAGCGCCUUGCUGAGUUUUUUGAGAGGCAAGAUCAUGGACGUGUAGGUUGGUCACGUGCACAGGCUACUCACAACUUAGACCCUGAUACAAACCCUAUGCUGGUUGAGACUGAUAGCAGGGGUGAGAAAAAGAGAAUACUUUAUGGGUGCCUAGCAAUUUCCUCUGAUCUGGAUGAAUUAGACUCAGAUUCAAGAAAAAGGGCUACUGUCAAGAGCAUAAAAGAAUUUGACCCAUCUGACUAG